This 524-nucleotide ribosomal RNA is filed under the name uncultured bacterium. RNAcentral's name for it is "bacterial SSU rRNA". It matches the Rfam family "Bacterial small subunit ribosomal RNA", at positions 26 to 518 of the family's 1533-position model. The record is from RNAcentral.
GCUAGGACGAACGCUGGCGGCGUGCCUAAUACAUGCAAGUCGAACGGUCUUUUCUAUGGAAGCUUGCUUCCACUGAGAAGAUAGUGGCGAACGGGUGAGUAACACGUGGGUAACCUGCCCAUAAGAGGGGGGAUAACAUCCGGAAACGGGUGCUAAUACCGCAUAGUUUUCUUGAUCGCAUGAUCGGGAAAGGAAAGACGGCCUUUGUGCUGUCGCUUAUGGAUGGACCCGCGGCGUAUUAGUUAGUUGGUGAGGUAACGGCUCACCAAGACGAUGAUACGUAGCCGACCUGAGAGGGUGAUCGGCCACAUUGGGACUGAGACACGGCCCAAACUCCUACGGGAGGCAGCAGUAGGGAAUCUUCCGCAAUGGACGAAAGUCUGACGGAGCAACGCCGCGUGAGUGAAAGAAGGUUUUCGGAUCGUAAAACUCUGUUGUCAGAGAAGAACAAGUUGGAGAGUAACUGCUCCAGCCUUGACGGUAUCUGACCAGAAAGCCACGGCUAACUACGUGCCAGCCGCCGC